Molecule: ribosomal RNA, 253 nt
Filed under: uncultured bacterium
Lineage: Bacteria
Description: partial 16S ribosomal RNA
Rfam family: Bacterial small subunit ribosomal RNA
Source: RNAcentral
CACGUAGGGUGCGAGCGUUGUCCGGAAUCAUUGGGCGUAAAGCGCGUGUAGGCGGUUCGGUAAGUCCGCUGUGAAAGUCGGGGGCUCAACCCUCGGAUGCCGGUGGAUACUGUCGGGCUUGAGUACGGAAGAGGCGAGUGGAAUUCCUGGUGUAGCGGUGAAAUGCGCAGAUAUCAGGAGGAACACCAAUUGCGAAGGCAGCUCGCUGGGACGUUACUGACGCUGAGACGCGAAAGCGUGGGGAGCAAACAGG